RNAcentral lists this ribosomal RNA (253 nucleotides) under uncultured bacterium. Its description in RNAcentral is "partial 16S ribosomal RNA". It matches the Rfam family "Bacterial small subunit ribosomal RNA", at positions 524 to 776 of the family's 1533-position model. The record is from RNAcentral.
UACGGAGGGGGCUAGCGUUGUUCGGAAUUAUUGGGCGUAAAGGGCGCGUAGGCGGCCGAUCAAGUCGGAGGUGAAAUCCCUCGGCUCAACUGAGGAACUGCCUUCGAUACUGUUCGGCUUGAGUCCUGGAGAGGGUAGCGGAAUUCCCGGUGUAGCGGUGAAAUGCGUAGAGACCGGGAAGAACACCAGUGGCGAAGGCGGCUACCUGGACAGGUACUGACGCUGAAGCGCGAAAGCUAGGGGAGCAAACAGG